Molecule: ribosomal RNA, 480 nt
Filed under: uncultured bacterium
Lineage: Bacteria
Description: partial 16S ribosomal RNA
Rfam family: Bacterial small subunit ribosomal RNA
Source: RNAcentral
GACGAACGUUGGCGGCGUGCUUAAUACAUGCAAGUCAACUGAAGCAGUGGUAGCAAUAUCGCUGUGGAGGUGGCGCACGGGUGAGUAACACGUAGGUAAUCUGCCUUCAGGUCUGGCAUAACUCCGGGAAACCGGGGCUAAUAGCAGAUGAUGCAGCGGCUCGACAUCGAGACAGUUGUUAAAGCUAUGGCGCCUGAAGAUGAGCCUGCGUCUGAUUAGCUAGUUGGCGGGGUAACGGCCCACCAAGGCAACGAUCAGUAGCUGGUCUGAGAGGAUGAUCAGCCACACUGGAACUGAGACACGGUCCAGACUCCUACGGGAGGCAGCAGUAAGGAAUAUUGCUCAAUGGGAGAAAUCCUGAAGCAGCAACGCCGCGUGAGGGACGAAGGGCUUUUGCUUGUAAACCUCUGUAGUGAGAGAAAAAAAUCCCAAUCUUUGGGACAUGAUGGUAUCUCAAAAGUAAGCCCCGGCUAACUACGU